Molecule: ribosomal RNA, 159 nt
Filed under: Triticum aestivum (bread wheat)
Lineage: Eukaryota; Viridiplantae; Streptophyta; Magnoliopsida; Poales; Poaceae
Description: partial small subunit ribosomal RNA
Source: RNAcentral
AUGGCAGGAUCUAGAUCGAGUGUUCAUGGAGAAAACCAUGGGGAAGAAGAUGCCCCGGUCACACGUGCCGAGCUGCAGCGACUCGAGAACAACUUACUCCAAGCCAUGGAAAGGAUGCUUCAUGAGCGUCCUCCAGCAGGUGGUGAUAGGGUUCGACAC